CUUAUUAAAUCUUUGAAAUUAUUAUUAUCAAUAUAUGUAGAGGGUAAUAUAUUGUUAAAGACAAAAUUGAUUAGUCAUAAAUGAUAUAUAAGGUUAAAAUUGACAACUUAACUAACUUAAUACGGAUGCCUGUUUUAUCGUACAUCUCAAUUUCUCUCUUAAUUAAUUUCUUAUUAUGUUAUCCCCUAUUCUAAAAUUCUUGAUAUAAAAGAUCGGAUGCUUCAUGUUAAUAGACGCAAUGUCUAUUGGUUGUUAUAGUUGGAUACUACCUAUACUCUUCUCUAUUUUUCCCUCCUAAACCCUAACCAUUUUUUCCCGCCUCCUAAACCCUAAACUCAAGUUCGUGUCCAAACGCUCAGCUAAUUUACUUUUCAUUGUUUCAUAUCCUCCAAAGUGUCAGUCAAAGGAUAAAACCUCACAGGUAAAUAAACUCUACCAUUCUUUUUUAUGUUUUGUUAGAAUAUAUUUAAUUUGUUUAUACCAGUUGAUUGGUUGGUUGGUUGAAAUCCUUAAAUAGGUUUGUUUAAUUGUUUAUAUAUAUCAGUUGAUUAACUGAGGACUUUUGUUUAGUUGAUAUAAUUUUAUUCAACAUUUGUUUAUGUGACGUGAAGGUAUUUGGGGGACUUUUUCAAGUUAUUACAAAAUAAUAAUAUAUAUAAUGUUUAAUUAAUUUUAUCAUCAUAUUUGGGACUGCCAUUAUAAUUAUCAAAUCUUAUGUGUUAUGUGUGAUCAAUUUUAUAUAGGUAGCCAACCCUAAUGUAUUUUCUUUUAUCAUUUUAAUUAUUCUUUAAAGUUAUAAUCACUAAUGGACCUUUUCUGUUGUGGUAUUACUUGUUACUUACUCCCCAAAUGACAAGGUUCUAAUUUAGUGGAAUAAGUUCUCCACAAAGAGAUUCACAAAAGACACAAAAACCAUCACAAUUCACACACACAAAAAAGAAAAAAAAGAAAAAAGAGUUGUGCUAAUAGGAUAGUUUUAACAGAGAACUUGCCAUCUGUAGCCAUGCAAAAAGGCCUGGCUUUUCAUCCAUAUAUGGCAAAGGACCUCGACUCCUUUUUUUAUUCUUUUUAAAAUUGAAAGAGAUCUACUAAGAUUGANNNNNNNNNNNNNNNNNNNNNNNNNNNNNNNNNNNNNNNNNNNNNNNNNNNNNNNNNNNNNNNNNNNNNNNNNNNNNNNNNNNNNNNNNNNNNNNNNNNNAAAAUAAUUUCAUUUCAAAAAAUAAAGCUUUUAAAAAUUAUUUUAUAGUGAUUUUUAUGUACUCCUUCAAUUCCAAAAUAUAAUAUCAUUAUUGACUUUUUGAAGUCAACUUGAGAUAUUUUUUAAAUUCAAAAUUGACAUAGAUUCAUUUAGUUUUAGUCCAUAAAAAAAAGGUUUUAACUUGAAACGGAGAAGGUAUUUCUAGUUUUUUUUUCUAAAUUUAUAUUUUGUGAAUAUCUCAAUAUUUCACAAUAAGUAUCUCAUUCGCCAUUAAUUGUUUUGUUUUACAAAAAGAUUUCUUUUUUUUUAUUAAUAACAAUAUAUAUAUAUAAUAUGACACAAUAUCUUUAAAUUCGUGUACAUAUUUUCAUUAAAUCUCACUAUUAUUAAACUAACAACUUUAUAUUUAAUGAUAAAUAUAAAAUAAAAAUACUUUAUUAAUAUUUGUAUAUAUUACAAAUUAGACUAUUUUUAUGUAAUGUACGGAUAAAAAAAUUAUUGUUUAUAUUUAACCAUAUUAAGGGGUGCGUCCGCCCCUUCUUUUCCGGCACUUUUUCCCUGUCCAGUAAAACUCAUUUUCAAGAAAAUUUACUGCAAAAACUUGUUGUGUCCUUCAUCUUUGUGCCAGACCUGUUCCACUGUGUUGCUUUCUUUGAUUCUGAUAAUAUAUAUGUAGAAUCUAGGGAAUCGUAUCUCUCUGCUUUAUGCUAUUGUCCAUAUAUAUAUCAUGCCUCCCAGUUCCAUUUACAAAGUUAAUUUGUUCUUGCACUUUUAGAUCAUAAUAUAUACACUGGCUCCCAGGUAGUAGUAAUUCCAUAUAUACAAGUAAGAUUAUGGAUUACCCAAAUUAGAAGCCGAUAUAUAUCCUUUUCAUUUGAUUAUGGAUUAGCUAUACUUCUUUUUUGAAGUGUGAUUUCUUUUUUCUUUUUUAAUUAAGUUGACAUACACAUACAUAGUUUAUUAAAAUAUUAGGGCAACAAAAUAGUGACUUGACAGUAUAAUAUUUGGUUUGCUAAAACAUAAAUAAAUUUUUAGACUCAGAAAAAAAUUAAUAGAAUUCAUAGAACCCUUCACUAACAUGCAUUCCACGUACUCUUGACAAUAUUGUUACAUAACUUGAACAUGUAAUUAUAUGGUGGAUUAAAAAUAAUCAAAUAGCUAGGAAGUUUGUUACUCAUAUCUAAUUUAUAUUUAUUUUCGUUUGUUUACUUUUAAUUUGAGUGCAUUCUUGGAAAAGUUUGAAUUAUUACCCAAUCGACUUCAAUCAAAUUAAAAUAUAUUUAGCUAUAUUCUAAUUUAUAUUUAUUUUCGUAUGUUUUCGCUUGAUUACUUUUAGUUUGAGUGCAUUCUUGACAAAAUUUGAAUUAUUAAUCAAUCAAAUUAAAAUAAGAGUGUUAUUAGAGCAAAUAUACAUUUUGUGACAUUUUUAUAGUUAUUUUAACGACACUUAAUACUUUAAAACUAUACAUAUAUUUUUUGCCUUGUUGUGUAUUGUAAAAGUUUACAAACGUAUUAUAAUAACAACAUAUAUACAUAUAUUGAGAUAUGAUCUCUCUCUAAUUUAUAUUAAUCACAAUCCAAAUUUAGUAUAUAUUUGUUGACAAAUCCCCAUGCACGUGUUUUUGACCCUGCCCCACAUCUAUCUCGAGUUAUUUUCUAUUUAGUUAUCUACUACUCAAAUAUCAUACGGUGUCAAAUUAUCUAUCAAUUAAGAUUAGCUAAAUCAUUGAUCACUGAUCAAAAUCAGAUGUUAUAAAAAAUGUGAAAAUAUGAUAAAAAAAAUAAUAAUAAUUAAAUCCUUGGUGGUAAACAUUAAUAACAAGCUGGUGUUUGACCAUGUCCCAUGCCUAUUUGGAGUUAUAUAUUUUGAUAUCAAAUAUUAAAAUAUAUAUGGUAUCAAAUUAUCAUUCAAUUAAGCAUGAGUAGAUUAUGAGUGGCCAGCGACACAACCAAAAAAAAAAUUGAAAAAAAAAGAGAAAAAAAAGACAGCAAAUAUGAAUUCAUAUAUAUUUGAGGCAAUAUAAUAGUAUUUUGUUUUAUAAAAAAUAAAAAUAAAGUGCAAAAGAAAAAUGUAAAAAAUCUUGAAUCUACUCGGAAAACCACCCCAUCUACCCAAACUAUUCAAGUAUGUUACUAUUAUUUUCAGUAAUAACAAAAACAAAAAGUUUUUUAAUGAUGUUAAUAUAAUAACAAGAGUAAUUUACAUAACAAAUUUUUAGACUUAUUUUCUAGUCCUUCCCUCAAAAAUACGUGUUCUAAUAAUUAUAAAUUUAAAGACAUAAUUCAAAACUAAAAAAAACAAAAGAUUGCUCAUUUUUCUAUGGGGAAAUUGAAAUAAUAAUGACCAUAAAAAAGUAAAAGGUCCUUUAGUAACUAUUUCUAAAGACAAAAACACAAUAACUUGCAACUUAAUUAGUUGCAACCACAAUCCGUAGAUAAGUACUAAUAAUAAUAAUAAGUCAAAAAGAUGGCAAGCUUCCAAGACACUUUCCUUCUGUCUUUGAUAGAACAUAAAGCUAGCUUGGUGAAUAAUUAGUAAUAGUAAAAGUAGAAAAGUUGUCUGUUUUUUUCCUUUGAUUAAAAGUAAAGUGAUUUAAUCAAAGAAAAAAACAGACAACUUUUCUUCAUUUACUUGUCUGUUUUUCCCUUUGAUAAAGUCUAGAGUGGAGUAACAUAUGAUCCUCACUAAGAUAUUCACGUGUUGUACCCUGUUUGUUUUAGCUUUACUCGAGAGCUUUUAGCUUCUAGCUUUUAAGUAUAAAAGUUAAAAGUUGAGUACAAGUACUUAAUGCAUAAAAAACUUAAAAGCUAAAGUCAUCUAUUUUGGUGCUUCUCAAAUCAACUUCUCAACUCUUAAUAAAAUAUUUUUUUUUUAUCAAAAUACCUUUAAUUUCAAUUGAUAAAUUACACAACUAUAUAUAUGUUAUAAUAAUACUACAUUUUUAAUAGUAAUAUAUAUUAUUAUUUUUAUAAUUUGUUUAGAUUAAAUAUUGAUAAAACUUGAUUGAAUUUUUUUCUUCUAUUCUCUCUUCUUAAUUUAUCUCUAACUAAAAAAUCUAGACCGACUUUCUCUCUUGUUUUCCCUAUAAUUUUGAGUGAAGUUGGAAACAAAAUCAUCAACAAAAAUUGCAGAUCUGCACAUAUUUGUACGCCGCAAGAUGAUUAUCCGCGACGACUUUUCAUAUUGGAGUCAUUUUUGUUAUCUUUAUUUGAGGAAUAAUUACGGUGUAUAUUAGUUUUUGAUUACGAUUGACUCAUGUAUUUAUCAACUGUUUUGAAGGAAUUAUGUUUGUAUUUUCAAUCUUAAUAUAUUUUAGUCAAUUUUGGACUGUUUAAAAAAAAGAACUUUGAUUGGGAACCACGGAAAAAGAUAUAAAUAAAUAAAUAAAUAAAUCCUCGGUUUGACCGUGUUGCAUGCCUUUAUGGAAUUAAUUUUAUCAUUCGAUCAAAAUUUGAAGGGUGAAAAAUGUAUUUUAAGGCUAUAACUAUCCUUAUAAAUGUGGGUAUAAAUCUCUCUCUCUCUCUCUCUCUCUCUCU
RNAcentral lists this long non-coding RNA (4735 nucleotides) under Panax ginseng (ginseng). RNAcentral describes it as "long non-coding RNA (PGIN_LNC016391)". The record is from RNAcentral. Lineage: Eukaryota; Viridiplantae; Streptophyta; Magnoliopsida; Apiales; Araliaceae.